Long non-coding RNA from Hordeum vulgare subsp. vulgare (domesticated barley), 875 nucleotides. RefSeq lists it as uncharacterized. The transcript has 2 exons. Lineage: Eukaryota; Viridiplantae; Streptophyta; Magnoliopsida; Poales; Poaceae. The record is from RefSeq and is a predicted model, not a curated record.
UUACAUGAUCCACUUUAUUUUGUUGUCUAAUAAAUAUAAAAUAUGAUAAGUUCAGAUCUAGGAGCUUUACCAAUUGCUCCGAAUUUUCAGAAUAUACCAAUUGCUGAGAGUACUUUACCGAGUAGGGAGCUUUCAGGCGAUGACCUACCGAGUCGGCCAUCACUCGACAUCCGACGAUUCAACUACAGGCCGGCUGAUGAGAUGGACCAUUGGCGAACAGCAAGGGAUCCCGUCUCCAGGUAGAGAAAAUGGGUUCAGGGGAAUGGAUGGUUGUGCGAUUCUGAAGAGUCUCAACUCAGGAACAAUGUGAGGCAAGAGCUCCUGCACGGGCUUGCGAUUCAGGUGGCCGAGAGGAUGCCAAAACACGGGCUUGCGAUUCAGGUGGCCGAGAGGAUGCCAAAACACGGGCUUGCGGAGCUCUUCACAGAUGUUUAUGAUCAAAUCCCUUCCAAUCUUCGCCAGCAAGGGCGGUCGCUGCUGGAUACCAUCAAAAGGCGCCCUGCAGAGUAUCCGGCUGAUGUGCCUGUUUAGUAGCCUUAGCUCUGCAAUGUUGUUGGAGUCUGUAAGUACCCAUGAAUAAUGCAUUUAGCUAGUACCAUGAGAGUUAAUAUUGAUUAUAGCUUGAAUUGUAUGUAACUAGAAAAGGAGGAAUAAACUGCUCAUCCAAAAAAAUUCUGAAAGAAAUAAUACAAGAGAUUGGCUGUUGCUUACACAAAGAAUAGUUGUUGCCGACAUUUAUGUUGAACAAAGCCAUGCUAAGAUAUUUAACUGCAGGCAAAGGUCUCUUUUAUUUAGUUUCUUUCAUGACAUGGCUGCCACAACUCCUUAGAUGUACAAAUGCGGCACAACAAGGAUUGCAUUUGUCCAAACAAAAA